Non-coding RNA from Mus caroli (Ryukyu mouse), 1679 nucleotides. NCBI's taxonomy places the organism in Eukaryota, Metazoa, Chordata, Mammalia, Rodentia, Muridae. The record is from RefSeq and is a predicted model, not a curated record.
UAAGUGGUUACUGAGUGCUCCUAGAGACUUAGGCAGAAUGACUGAUUCUGUUUUUCAGGUGCCAGUCCUUCUAUGGGCAAGGAUUUCAGUGGGAAUUGUCAGCAACUGGGAAAGAGUGGACACAACUGUACAACAAUGGGAGUUGAGUACAGGGUGCUGGGCAAUAAAUGUCACAAACUUCCAGUUGGCAUAAGGUUUUUAAAUUAUGCACACAUUUUAGUAAUGGGAAAGUUUAUGUAAAUAUGUCUUGGAUGAGAGUGUAUGAAAAUUGUACAGCUAUUAGCUGUAAUCACCCUUGGGAUAAAUCCAUUUCUGGAGUAGGAGAGGCAGAGGGAAUAUGAAAGGUGAAAGACCAGGAAGGGCAUAAGAGAGUCACACUACUGGGAUAAUAAGAUUCUGGGAACUUGUUUUGACCAAUGCCUGCAGCAGUUUUCCUCUGCCUAGGGUGCCCUGGUCACUGCAUGGCAGACACCAGCUAAAACAGAAGCUCCACUGGACUCAGCAGCUCAAAAGCCAGGGGCUGCAUCAUGCAUUAAGUAUACAUCUCUGAAUGAUGUCAGGCUCAGUCUGAGCCAGGCAGCAGCAGGAGGCGUUUCCAGUCACUUCAACUUUGCACCCACCUCUGUGUUAGGCCCGGGAAAGUCUUGUCAGCAGCAAUGAUUGCUCACUGAUGCAGCAAUCGUGGGAGACAGAAAGGCAUUUGGCAAUUCUGGUCCCCAGACGGGCACAACAGCUGGUAUGGGGCACCUGGGAUGCUCUGCCAUGCGGGUGGGUUCGGGAGGUGUUUAUGUAAUCCUCCAAGCUGCCUGGGAGCUUUGUGGGUUGUGUACAAAUGAUCAAAUGCAAAUAGUCCCUAGUGGUCACAGCUUGUUUUCUCAAAAUUUUACUGCACGCCACACACAAGGACAAGCUGGAGGGAGUGUGUUAACAAUCUAGUGGUUGAGAACCACCUAAAAUGAGGGGAUGCCAUUAAAGCCAGGCAGACUGUCAAUGGCAUUACAUUCACUCAGGGAGCCAACACUCUCCCAUUAUGAAUGACCUCUUCCACCUGAGCGAAAAUAAAAUGACCGCAUGGCUCUCCGGCAGCUGAACUCCCCUUCUGGUGACUGUUCAUUAUUAUUCUGAAUUAGAUUCCACACUUUUACCUCAGGGAAACUGGAAAAGAAUAAACAGCGCUUAUGCCUCGGACCUUGAAUGCUACCUAAAAUCUACCUACACUCCAUCAGUCUCAAUGACUCAUGUUAAAAUCCCUGCUAGUCGUGUGAAAAUAUUACCUGCUUACCAUCAGAGAAGCAACCGCAAAGCAUGAUGGCCUCAUGCCCGGAGCUGAGCCUGGCACAGGUUCAUCAUCUCAGUCCUAGUUUUAGAGAUGGGAAAGCCAUGGUUUGGUGGGCUCCAGCAUAUAUGUGGCAGAGCUGGCAUGUAGAAUGAAGACUACUCUACCCAGAGGAUUCAUGAUAAUGGAGCAAUGAGACAGAGUGCUAUCAUGGGGAAAGGGAAGAUCUGGAGUCCUCAGAUCAGCAAAAGGACAUGCGCCUAGAUGGUUCAGCUUGGGAAGUGGAAAUAGCAAGGCAUGCGUGUAUACUGCUUAUAGGUGUUACAUGUACAGUUUUCUGUGCUGCAUUUGCCAGAGUAUACCAUCACAGAAAGAUGCUGAUUUUCAUUCAUCACCUGGGCAG